CUGGUUUGCACAUGUGCAAUAAAGUUAGAAAUAAAACAUAAGAAAUAAGAAAAUUACCUAUUUAACCAAAUAUGCUGUAAACUUCAUAUAGUUUAUCCACUUAAUAAUCACUUAAUACAAUUAAUUAAUCCAAAUAAUUAGAAUUACCUUUUUUAUCAAUAGAAUUAUAUUUUUUUAUAAAUAAAAUGUCCUUGAUAUAAAAGAUUGUCCUUAUAUUAUGCCUUUAUUAUGUUGCUAUUAUAAAAUAUGAUCAAUCAAGCAAAAAUAUAAAAAUUCCUGUAAGUAUUGUGUCUAAAAUGACCAUGCAAAAGUAAUCAUGAGGUUUUGAGGUUAAAUAAUGUUAAAAGUGUACACUGCCUUGGUUGACAUUCUAGACAUAACCAGGUGCUCCACAGGGCGCAGCUUUAUACGACCGCAGAGGUCGAACCCUGAACAGUUGGGGCAAGUAUGGACAAAACAUUCAAGCGUGAUACAGCUCUGAAUUUGGAUUGUGAUCAAAUUUUUGACAUUAUAUGUUUUUUUUUUUACACAAAACAAAUGUCAAGAUUUUACAAAUCAAUUAAAGAUUUCUUCAAACUUUUUAAAUCUAAAAUUAAAUAGUUGACACAGCAUAGGUUUCUGACACAGAAUGAAUGUGGUCUAAUGAACUUAAAAGUUUUUUUUUU
Molecule: long non-coding RNA, 665 nt
Filed under: Mytilus galloprovincialis (Mediterranean mussel)
Lineage: Eukaryota; Metazoa; Mollusca; Bivalvia; Mytilida; Mytilidae
Source: RNAcentral